AACGAACGCUGGCGGCGUGCUUAACACAUGCAAGUCGAACGGGUUCAUAAUGAGUAGCAAUACUUGAUAUGAAUUAGUGGCGGACGGGUGUGUAACACGUAGGUAACCUACCCUUGAGCGGGGGACAACCCAGGGAAACUUGGGCUAAUACCCCAUAAGACCACGGGGUGUGAAUCUUGUGGUAAAAGUAGCGAUACGCUCAUGGACGGGCCUGCGGCCUAUCAGGUAGUUGGUGAGGUAACGGCCCACCAAGCCAAAGACGGGUAGCCGGGCUGAGAGGUUGAACGGCCACACUGGAACUGAGACACGGUCCAGACUCCUACGGGAGGCAGCAGUGGGGAAUAUUGCACAAUGGGGGAAACCCUGAUGCAGCGACGCCGCGUGGAGGAUGAAGGUCUUCGGGUUGUAAACUCCUUUUAUUGGGAAAGAUGAUGACGGUACCCAAUGAAUAAGCCACGGCUAACUCUGUGCCAGCAGCCGCGGUAAGACAGAGGUGGCGAGCGUUGUUCGGAAUUACUGGGCUUAAAGGGCGAGUAGGCGGUGGGACAAGUCUGAUGUGGAAUCUUAGGGCUUAACCCUAAAACUGCAU
This 589-nucleotide ribosomal RNA is filed under the name uncultured Magnetobacterium sp. RNAcentral describes it as "bacterial SSU rRNA". It matches the Rfam family "Bacterial small subunit ribosomal RNA", at positions 28 to 626 of the family's 1533-position model. Lineage: Bacteria; Pseudomonadati; Nitrospirota; Thermodesulfovibrionia; Thermodesulfovibrionales; Magnetobacteriaceae (SeqCode). The record is from RNAcentral.